Molecule: ribosomal RNA, 578 nt
Filed under: uncultured bacterium
Lineage: Bacteria
Description: partial 16S ribosomal RNA
Rfam family: Bacterial small subunit ribosomal RNA
Source: RNAcentral
UGGGGAAUUUUUGGACAAUGGGCGAAAGCCUGAUCCAGCAAUGCCGCGUGUGUGAAGAAGGCCUUCGGGUUGUAAAGCACUUUUGUCCGGAAAGAAAUCCUUGGCUCUAAUACAGUCGGGGGAUGACGGUACCGGAAGAAUAAGCACCGGCUAACUACGUGCCAGCAGCCGCGGUAAUACGUAGGGUGCAAGCGUUAAUCGGAAUUACUGGGCGUAAAGCGUGCGCAGGCGGUUUGCUAAGACCGAUGUGAAAUCCCCGGGCUCAACCUGGGAACUGCAUUGGUGACUGGCAGGCUAGAGUAUGGCAGAGGGGGGUAGAAUUCCACGUGUAGCAGUGAAAUGCGUAGAGAUGUGGAGGAAUACGAUGGCGAAGGCCAGCCCCUGGGCCAAUACUGACGCUCAUGCACGAAAGCGUGGGGAGCAAACAGGAUUAGAUACCCUGGUAGUCCACGCCCUAAACGAUGUCAACUAGUUGUUGGGGAUUCAUUUCCUUAGUAACGUAGCUAACGCGUGAAGUUGACCGCCUGGGGAGUACGGUCGCAAGAUUAAAACUCAAAUGAAUUGACGGGUCAUAGCUG